Molecule: ribosomal RNA, 443 nt
Filed under: uncultured bacterium
Lineage: Bacteria
Description: partial 16S ribosomal RNA
Rfam family: Bacterial small subunit ribosomal RNA
Source: RNAcentral
CCUACGGGAGGCAGCAGUGGGGAAUAUUGGGCAAUGGGCGCAAGCCUGACCCAGCAACGCCGCGUGAAGGAAGAAGGCUUUCGGGUUGUAAACUUCUUUUCUGAGGGACGAAGGAAGUGACGGUACCUCAGGAAUAAGCCACGGCUAACUACGUGCCAGCAGCCGCGGUAAUACGUAGGUGGCAAGCGUUAUCCGGAGUUAUUGGGUGUAAAGGGCGUGUAGGCGGGAAAGCAAGUCAGAUGUGAAAACUCAGGGCUCAACGCUGAGCCUGCAUUUGAAACUGGUUAUCUUGAGUGCUGGAGAGGAUAGCGGAAUUCCGGGUGUAGCGGUGAAAUGCGUAGAUAUACGGAGGAACACCAGUGGCGAAGGCGAAUUGCUGGACAGUAACUGACGCUGAGGAGCGAAAGCGUGGGGAGCAAACAGGAUUAGAUACCCGAGUAGUC